This 429-nucleotide ribosomal RNA is filed under the name Bacillota bacterium. RNAcentral describes it as "Firmicutes bacterium partial 16S ribosomal RNA". It matches the Rfam family "Bacterial small subunit ribosomal RNA", at positions 355 to 776 of the family's 1533-position model. Lineage: Bacteria; Bacillati; Bacillota. The record is from RNAcentral.
UAGGGAAUCUUCGGCAAUGGACGGAAGUCUGACUGAGCAACGCCGCGUGAGUGAAGAAGGUUUUCGGAUCGUAAAGCUCUGUUGUUAGAGAAGAACGUUGGUAGGAGUGGAAAAUCUACCAAGUGACGGUAACUAACCAGAAAGGGACGGCUAACUACGUGCCAGCAGCCGCGGUAAUACGUAGGUCCCGAUCGUUGUCCGGAUUUAUUGGGCGUAAAGCGCGCGCAGGCGGUUCUUUAAGUCUGAAGUUAAAGGCAGUGGCUUAACCAUUGUACGCUUUGGAAACUGGAGGACUAGAGUGCAGAAGGGGAGAGUGGAAUUCCAUGUGUAGAGGUGAAAUGCGUAGAUAUAUGGAGGAACACCGGUGGCGAAAGCGGCUCUCAGGUCUGUAACUGACGCUGAGGCUCGAAAGCGUGGGGAGCAAACAGG